UACGUAGGGUGCGAGCGUUAAUCGGAAUUACUGGGCGUAAAGGGUGCGCAGGUGGCCGCGCAAGUCGAGUGUGAAAUCCCCGGGCUUAACCUGGGAAUUGCGAUGGAGACUGCAAGGCUAGAAUCUGGCAGAGGGGGGUAGAAUUCCACGUGUAGCAGUGAAAUGCGUAGAGAUGUGGAGGAACACCGAUGGCGAAGGCAGCCCCCUGGGUCAAGAUUGACGCUCAUGCACGAAAGCGUGGGGAGCAAACAGG
This 253-nucleotide ribosomal RNA is filed under the name uncultured bacterium. Its description in RNAcentral is "partial 16S ribosomal RNA". It matches the Rfam family "Bacterial small subunit ribosomal RNA", at positions 524 to 776 of the family's 1533-position model. The record is from RNAcentral.